Molecule: ribosomal RNA, 464 nt
Filed under: uncultured bacterium
Lineage: Bacteria
Description: bacterial SSU rRNA
Rfam family: Bacterial small subunit ribosomal RNA
Source: RNAcentral
CCAGACUCCUACGGGAGGCAGCAGUGAGGAAUAUUGGUCAAUGGGCGGAAGCCUGAACCAGCCAAGUCGCGUGAGGGAAUAAGGCCCUACGGGUCGUAAACCUCUUUUGCCGGGGAGCAAGGGCGGGGACGUGUCCCGGCCCGGAGAGUACCCGGAGAAAAAGCAUCGGCUAACUCCGUGCCAGCAGCCGCGGUAAUACGGAGGAUGCGAGCGUUAUCCGGAUUUAUUGGGUUUAAAGGGUGCGUAGGCGGAAGGUUAAGUCAGCGGUAAAAUGUCGGUGCUCAACACCGGCCUGCCGUUGAAACUGGUCUUCUUGAGUGAGCGAGAAGUAUGCGGAAUGCGUGGUGUAGCGGUGAAAUGCAUAGAUAUCACGCAGAACUCCGAUUGCGAAGGCAGCAUACCGGCGCGCAACUGACGCUCAUGCACGAAAGCGUGGGUAUCGAACAGGAUUAGAUACCCGAGUA